RNAcentral lists this transfer RNA (74 nucleotides) under Acidobacteria bacterium RIFCSPLOWO2_12_FULL_59_11. RNAcentral's name for it is "tRNA-Gln". It matches the Rfam family "tRNA". Rfam says of the family: Transfer RNA (tRNA) molecules are approximately 80 nucleotides in length. Lineage: Bacteria; Pseudomonadati; Acidobacteriota. The record is from RNAcentral.
UCGCGGGUCGGCCAAAGGCAGGCUCACUGAUUUUGAAUCAGUCAAUGGACGUUCGAAUCGUCCCCCGCGAACCA